Molecule: long non-coding RNA, 1217 nt
Organism: Daphnia magna
Lineage: Eukaryota; Metazoa; Arthropoda; Branchiopoda; Diplostraca; Daphniidae
Exons: 3
Source: RefSeq, a predicted model, not a curated record
GAGAAGAGCGUGCCGCGACUUCAUUUGCAUGUGUUUCCCAUUCGUAUCUAGUUACAAGUGGGGAAAAGCCCUCGGUUCCUCGGACGUUCUUAAGAGCCCAUUACUUAGGCGGAACUUUCUAUAUCCAAUUCAGUUUCCACAUAAUGGUGAUCCGCUAGGGCUUAACAACUUGUCGGGCUCGACGUCGUUCUAUCGUCGACUUUUUAUUACUCCCUCUUUGGACGAUGGUCAGUCGUUAUUUCAAUCUGAAAAGAGCUACUCAUACGCCAUUUAACAUAAGACUCCGGUAGUAGUUACCUGCCUCCAGUACAAUUAAAUGAAUUGAGAAAAACGAGUUUCGUGUUUCCCCCUUCUUUUUUCUUUUUUUUUUUGGGUCUUGUUUUCUCCGUAGUGUUUUGUUUCUUCGUUCUCUUCACAUAUAAAUAAAAAGUUACCCGUCGUGAUGGAGAACACCUCAACGCAGGGGGAGAUCAAGUCCGAGCCGAAUGAGAAACAACAGAAGAGUGGCUGGUGGCCCAGCUUCAAAGCAUUAGGUCACGGCCUGUUGGCAGCGGUAGGUCUCCGUAGAGCAAAAAAUCCGUUCCAUGAACAAUAUCCCGAUUCCUGCCACCUCGGAGGAGAACCUGAGCUACUAGCUGAACACUGCAAACAUGUUCUAUUGGUUGCCGAAGAAAAACUGGGGCUGACUGAAAAAUAUUCCGAAGAGGAACCCUCGCCAUCAAAAGCGCAGGAACGGCUACGUAUUGAAUGAAUCCGCAUAUCAACACAUUUUUUUGUUGUUGCCGAUUUUCGGAACAAAAUGCUGUCAUUUCGAAAACUGUUUACAAAAGGAAUACACCCAAAUGAAAAAGACGGUUUGUCGAUUAUUCGGCAAUUCCUAGUCAUUUCGUAUGGCAAAAAGCCUCACAACGAGAAGGCCCAACCAGAUAUUAUCAGUUCAUUAUUAUUACUAGAUUAUUGUGUGAAUGCAAAAGUUGUCUCGCCUUCCUUUCACCGGAAUGAAAGGGUGCGACUACAUGCAUAGGCGGAUGCGAAAUUUAAACCUAUUCCGCGCGUCCGGCUACGUCAAGUUAUACGACAAAAGCAGUCCCGAACGGCGCUAAUAUGAAUUCCGCGUAUUAAAAACUGAAUAAAAUUCGGCUUUUGGAAGAAAUAUGGAAAUCACAAUUUAAAAAAAAAUCAAAUAAGAAACAACGAUAUGGCAUUGUGCAUAUAUU